GGGUUGUGAGGUUAAGCGACUAAGCGUACACGGUGGAUGCCCUGGCAGUCAGAGGCGAUGAAGGACGUGCUAAUCUGCGAUAAGCGUCGGUAAGGUGAUAUGAACCGUUAUAACCGGCGAUUUCCGAAUGGGGAAACCCAGUGUGUUUCGACACACUAUCAUUAACUGAAUCCAUAGGUUAAUGAGGCGAACCGGGGGAACUGAAACAUC
This 210-nucleotide ribosomal RNA is filed under the name Escherichia coli. RNAcentral describes it as "partial 23S ribosomal RNA". It matches the Rfam family "Bacterial large subunit ribosomal RNA", at positions 1 to 202 of the family's 2925-position model. The record is from RNAcentral. RNAcentral also lists the same sequence under 1 other name. Lineage: Bacteria; Pseudomonadati; Pseudomonadota; Gammaproteobacteria; Enterobacterales; Enterobacteriaceae.